UUUCCGGUUGAUCCAGCCAGAGGCCAUUGCUAUCGGGGUCCGACUUAGCCAUGCUAGUUGUACGAGCUCAAACUCGUAGCAAAUAGCUCCGUAACACGUGGCCAAACCACCCUACAGAGGACCAUAACCUCGGGAAACUGAGGCUAAUAGCCCAUACCCGUCCCACGCUGGAAUGCCGGGACGCGCAAACGCUUUUCGCGCUGUAGGACGUGGCUGCGGCCGAUUAGGUAGACGGUGGGGUAACGGCCCACCGUGCCGAUAAUCGGUACGGGUUGUGAGAGCAAGAGCCCGGAGACGGAAUCUGAGACAAGAUUCCGGGCCCUACGGGGCGCAGCAGGCGCGAAACCUUUACACUGCACGCAAGUGCGAUAAGGGGACCCCGAGUGCGAGGGCAUACAGUCCUCGCUUUUCACUACCGUAAGGUGGUAGUGGAAUAAGAGCUGGGCAAGACCGGUGCCAGCCGCCGCGGUAAUACCGGCAGCUCGAGUGAUGGCCGAUCUUAUUGGGCCUAAAGCGUUCGUAGCCGGCCACGCAAGUCUACCGGGAAAUCCGCCAGCCCAACUGGCGGGCGUCCGGUAGAAACUGUGUGGCUUGGGACCGGAAGACCCGAAGGGUACGUCUUGGGUAGGAGUGAAAUCCCGUAAUCCUGGACGGACCGCCGAUGGCGAAAGCACUUCGGGAAGACGGAUCCGACGGUGAGGGACGAAAGCCAAGGUCUCGAACCGGAUUAGAUACCCGGGUAGUCCUGGCCGUAAACGAUGUCUGCUAGGUGUGGCUCCCGCUACGAGCGGGUGCUGUGCCGUAGGGAAGCCGCUAAGCAGACCGCCUGGGAAGUACGUCCGCAAGGAUGAAACUUAAAGGAAUUGGCGGGGGAGCACUACAACCGGAGGAGCCUGCGGUUUAAUUGGAUUCAACGCCGGA
Molecule: ribosomal RNA, 921 nt
Filed under: uncultured archaeon
Lineage: Archaea
Description: bacterial SSU rRNA
Rfam family: Archaeal small subunit ribosomal RNA
Source: RNAcentral